AUUGAACGCUGGCGGCAUGCCUUACACAUGCAAGUCGAACGGUAACGCGGGGCAACCUGGCGACGAGUGGCGAACGGGUGAGUAAUACAUCGGAACGUGCCCAGUAGUGGGGGAUAGCCCGGCGAAAGCCGGAUUAAUACCGCAUACGACCUACGGGUGAAAGCAGGGGAUCGCAAGACCUUGCGCUAUUGGAGCGGCCGAUGUCAGAUUAGGUUGUUGGUGGGGUAAAAGCCUACCAAGCCGACGAUCUGUAGCUGGUCUGAGAGGACGACCAGCCACACUGGGACUGAGACACGGCCCAGACUCCUACGGGAGGCAGCAGUGGGGAAUUUUGGACAAUGGGCGCAAGCCUGAUCCAGCCAUGCCGCGUGCGGGAAGAAGGCCUUCGGGUUGGUAAACCGACGUUUUGUCUAGGGAAGAAACGACUCCGGGC
RNAcentral lists this ribosomal RNA (433 nucleotides) under uncultured bacterium. RNAcentral describes it as "bacterial SSU rRNA". It matches the Rfam family "Bacterial small subunit ribosomal RNA", at positions 29 to 461 of the family's 1533-position model. The record is from RNAcentral.